RNAcentral lists this unclassified non-coding RNA (355 nucleotides) under soil metagenome. RNAcentral's name for it is "partial contains 5.8S ribosomal RNA, internal transcribed spacer 2, and large subunit ribosomal RNA". The stretch from base 1 to 120 matches the Rfam family "5.8S ribosomal RNA", at positions 35 to 154 of the family's 154-position model. The record is from RNAcentral.
GAUGAAGAACGUAGCGAAAUGCGAUAAGUAAUGUGAAUUGCAGAAUUCAGUGAAUCAUCGAAUCUUUGAACGCACAUUGCGCCCGCCAGUAUUCUGGCGGGCAUGCCUGUCCGAGCGUCAUUUCAACCCUCGAACCCCUCCGGGGGGUCGGCGUUGGGGAUCGGCCCUGCCUCUUGGCGGUGGCCGUCUCCGAAAUACAGUGGCGGUCUCGCCGCAGCCUCUCCUGCGCAGUAGUUUGCACACUCGCAUCGGGAGCGCGGCGCGUCCACAGCCGUUAAACACCCAACUUCUGAAAUGUUGACCUCGGAUCAGGUAGGAAUACCCGCUGAACUUAUGCAUAUCAAUAAGCGGAGGA